This 497-nucleotide ribosomal RNA is filed under the name uncultured bacterium. RNAcentral's name for it is "partial 16S ribosomal RNA". It matches the Rfam family "Bacterial small subunit ribosomal RNA", at positions 28 to 507 of the family's 1533-position model. The record is from RNAcentral.
GAUGAACGCUGGCGGCGUGCCUAAUACAUGCAAGUCGAGCGAACAGAUGAGGAGCUUGCUCCUCUGACGUUAGCGGCGGACGGGUGGGUAACACGUGGAUAACCUACCUAUAAGACUGGGAUAACUUCGGGAAACCGGAGCUAAUACCGGAUAAUAUAUUGAACCGCAUGGUUCAAUAGUGAAAGACGGUUUUGCUGUCACUUAUAGAUGGAUCCGCGCCGCAUUAGCUAGUUGGUAAGGUAACGGCUUACCAAGGCAACGAUGCGUAGCCGACCUGAGAGGGUGAUCGGCCACACGGGAACUGAGACACGGUCCAGACUCCUACGGGAGGCAGCAGUAGGGAAUCGUCCGCAAUGGGCGAAAGCUUGACGGAGCAACGCCGAGUGAGUGAUGAAGGUCUUCGGAUCGUAAAACUCUGUUAUUAGGGAAGAACAAAUGUGUAAGUAACUAUGCACGUCUUGACGGUACCUAAUCAGAAAGCCACGGCUAACUACGUG